RNAcentral lists this transfer RNA (72 nucleotides) under Candidatus Giovannonibacteria bacterium RIFCSPHIGHO2_01_FULL_45_23. RNAcentral's name for it is "tRNA-Arg". It matches the Rfam family "tRNA". From Rfam's summary of the family: Transfer RNA (tRNA) molecules are approximately 80 nucleotides in length. Their secondary structure includes four short double-helical elements and three loops (D, anti-codon, and T loops). Lineage: Bacteria; Candidatus Giovannoniibacteriota. RNAcentral also lists the same sequence under 2 other names. The record is from RNAcentral.
GCCCCUGUAGUUCAACGGACAGAAUGGCUCCCUUCUAAGGAGCAGAUCCAAGUUCGAUUCUUGGCAGGGGCG